RNAcentral lists this ribosomal RNA (519 nucleotides) under Crenosoma vulpis. Its description in RNAcentral is "SSU rRNA". It matches the Rfam family "Eukaryotic small subunit ribosomal RNA", at positions 1045 to 1593 of the family's 1831-position model. Lineage: Eukaryota; Metazoa; Nematoda; Chromadorea; Rhabditida; Crenosomatidae. The record is from RNAcentral.
UCUAGCGAUCCGAUGGGGUAUUGUUGCCUUGUCGAGGAGCUUCCCGGAAACGAAAGUCUUUCGGUUCCUGGGGUAGUAUGGUUGCAAAGCUGAAACUUAAAGAAAUUGACGGAAUGGCACCACCAGGAGUGGAGCCUGCGGCUUAAUUUGACUCAACACGGGAAAACUCACCCGGCCCGGACACCGUAAGGAUUGACAGAUUGAAAGCUCUUUCUCGAUUUGGUGGUUGGUGGUGCAUGGCCGUUCUUAGUUGGUGGAGCGAUUUGUCUGGUUUAUUCCGAUAACGAGCGAGACUCUAGCCUGCUAAAUAGUGACUAGAUUUUUAUGUCUAGUCUACUUCUUAGAGGGAUAAGCGGUGUUUAGCCGCACGAGAUUGAGCGAUAACAGGUCUGUGAUGCCCUUAGAUGUCCGGGGCUGCACGCGCGCUACAAUGGAAGAAUCAGCUGGCCUAUCCAUUGCCGAAAGGUAUUGGUAAACCGUUGAAACUCUUCCGUGACCGGGAUAGGGAAUUGUAACUAU